Molecule: ribosomal RNA, 450 nt
Filed under: uncultured bacterium
Lineage: Bacteria
Description: partial 16S ribosomal RNA
Rfam family: Bacterial small subunit ribosomal RNA
Source: RNAcentral
AACGAACGCUGGCGGCAUGCCUAACACAUGCAAGUCGAACGAGAUCUUCGGGUCUAGUGGCGCACGGGUGCGUAACGCGUGGGAAUCUGCCCUUUGGUUCGGAAUAACAGUUGGAAACGACUGCUAAUACCGGAUGAUGACGAAAGUCCAAAGAUUUAUCGCCAGAGGAUGAGCCCGCGUAGGAUUAGCUAGUUGGUGUGGUAAAGGCGCACCAAGGCGACGAUCCUUAGCUGGUCUGAGAGGAUGAUCAGCCACACUGGGACUGCGAACACGGCCCAGACUCCUACGGGAGGCAGCAGUGGGGAAUAUUGGACAAUAGGCGAAAGCCUGAUCCAGCAAUGCCGCGUGAGUGAUGAAGGCCUUAGGGUUGUAAAGCUCUUUUACCCGGGAUGAUAAUGACAGUACCGGGAGAAUAAGCUCCGGCUAACUCCGUGCCAGCCGCCGCAGUAA